AGAGUUUGAUCCUGGCUCAGAACGAACGCUGGCGGCAUGCCUAACACAUGCAAGUCGAACGAUGCCUCCGGGCAUAGUGGCGCACGGGUGCGUAACGCGUGGGAAUCUGCCCUUGGGUUCGGAAUAACAGUGAGAAAUUACUGCUAAUACGGGAUGAUGACUUCGGUCCAAAGAUUUAUCGCCCAAGGAUGAGCCCGCGUAAGAUUAGCUAGUUGGUGAGGUAAAGGCUCACCAAGGCGACGAUCUUUAGCUGGUCUGAGAGGAUGAUCAGCCACACUGGGACUGAGACACGGCCCAGACUCCUACGGGAGGCAGCAGUGAGGAAUAUUGGACAAUGGGCGCAAGCCUGAUCCAGCCAUGCCGCGUGAGUGAAGAAGGCCUUCGGGUUGUAAAGCUCUUUCGAUAGUGAAGAUAAUGACGGUAGCUAUAGAAGAAGCCCCGGCUAAAUUCGUGCCAGCAGCCGCGGUAAUACGAAUGGGGCAAGCGUUGUUCGGAAUCACUGGGCUUAAAGCGUGCGUAGGCGGACAUGAAAGUCAGGAGUGAAAUCCCGGGGCUCAACCCCGGAAUUGCUUUUGAAACUCCAUGUCUGGAAUCCGGGAGGGGUUAGUGGAAUUCCGAGUGUAGAGGUGAAAUUCGCAGAUAUUCGGAGGAACACCAGUGGCGAAGGCGACUGACUGGACCGGCAUUGACGCUGAGGCACGAAAGCGUGGGGAGCAAACAGGAUUAGAUACGCUGGUAGUCCACGCCGUAAACGAUGUGUGCUAGCUGUCGGGCUCUUCGAGCCCGGUGGCGGAGCGAAAGUAUUAAGCACACCGCCUGGGGAGUACGGCCGCAAGGUUAAAACUCAAAGGAAUUGACGGGGACCCGCACAAGCGGUGGAGCAUGUUGUUUAAUUCGAAGCAACGCGAAGAACCUUACCCACUCUUGACAUCCUCCUUUUGACUUUCAGAGAUGAUCGUCUUCGGUUCGGCCGGGGGAGUGACAGGUGCUGCAUGGCUGUCGUCAGCUCGUGUCGUGAGAUGUUUGGUUAAGUCCAGCAACGAGCGCAACCCUUACUGUCUGUUGCCAUCAUUAGGUUGGGAACUCUGACGGGACUGCCGGUGAUAAGCCGGAGGAAGGCGGGGACGACGUCAAGUCAUCAUGGCCCUUACGAGUGGGGCUACAAACGUGCUACAAUGGCGGUGACAGUGAGCAGCUAGGUCGCGAGGCCAAGCUAAUCUCAAAAAGCCGUCUCAGUUCGGAUUGUUCUCUGCAACUCGAGAGCAUGAAGUUGGAAUCGCUAGUAAUCGUGAAUCAGCAUGUCACGGUGAAUACGUUCCCGGGUCUUGUACACACCGCCCGUCAAGUGAUGGGAGUUGGCUUUGCCCGAAGAUGGUGCGCUAACUUUUAGAGGCAGCCGGCCACGGUAAGGUCAGCGACUGGCACUAAGUCGUAACAAGGUAGCCGUAGGGGAACCUGCGGCUGGAUCACCUCCUU
This 1476-nucleotide ribosomal RNA is filed under the name uncultured bacterium. Its description in RNAcentral is "16S ribosomal RNA". It matches the Rfam family "Bacterial small subunit ribosomal RNA". The record is from RNAcentral.